Molecule: ribosomal RNA, 273 nt
Filed under: uncultured bacterium
Lineage: Bacteria
Description: partial 16S ribosomal RNA
Rfam family: Bacterial small subunit ribosomal RNA
Source: RNAcentral
ACUCCUACGGGAGGCAGCAGUGGGGAAUUUUGGACAAUGGGCGAAAGCCUGAUCCAGCAAUGCCGCGUGUGUGAAGAAGGCCUUCGGGUUGUAAAGCACUUUUGUCCGGAAAGAAAUGGCUCUGGUUAAUACCCGGAGUUGAUGACGGUACCGGAAGAAUAAGGACCGGCUAACUACGUGCCAGCAGCCGCGGUAAUACGUAGGGUCCAAGCGUUAAUCGGAAUUACUGGGCGUAAAGCGUGCGCAGGCGGUUGUGCAAGACCGAUGUGAAAU